CCGGCGACCGGCGGCACGGGUGGAGUAACACGUAUGCAACCUGCCCUCUUCAGGGGGACAACCUUCCGAAAGGGGAGGCUAAUCCCGCGUAUAUCGGUUUCGGGCGAUCCGAGAUCGAGGAAAGAUUCAUCGGAAGAGGAUGGGCAUGCGGCGCAUUAGCUAGACGGCGGGGUAACGGCCCACCGUGGCGACGAUGCGUAGGGGUUCUGAGAGGAAGGUCCCCCACACUGGUACUGAGACACGGACCAGACUCCUACGGAAGGCAGCAG
Molecule: ribosomal RNA, 269 nt
Filed under: uncultured bacterium
Lineage: Bacteria
Description: partial 16S ribosomal RNA
Rfam family: Bacterial small subunit ribosomal RNA
Source: RNAcentral